AUGAAUCUCUUGGCCUGGAACUGUCGAGGCUUGGGGUUGGACUCGACAGUUGGCGAACUACGGGACCUCAUAUAGUCAUACAACCCAGUGGUGGUUUUUCUUUCAGAAACGUUGAAAAAAUCUGAGCCAAUGAAUAAGCUUAAGUGGAGCUUGGGGUUCCGACAAGAAGUAGCAGUUAGUUGUGCAGGUAGGAGUGGUGGGCUUGCUUUAUGGUGGAGGGAUGAUGUGGAUGUCACAGUGAGACCGUGGAGUCAAUACUUCAUUGAUGCGGGGGUGAAGUUCGAGGGUAAAUCCUUUAGAUUCGCUGGAAUGUACGGGGAACCCCGGACAGACCACAGGAAGAAAACCUAG
This 351-nucleotide ribosomal RNA is filed under the name Triticum aestivum (bread wheat). RNAcentral's name for it is "partial small subunit ribosomal RNA". The record is from RNAcentral. Lineage: Eukaryota; Viridiplantae; Streptophyta; Magnoliopsida; Poales; Poaceae.